RNAcentral lists this ribosomal RNA (508 nucleotides) under uncultured bacterium. Its description in RNAcentral is "partial 16S ribosomal RNA". It matches the Rfam family "Bacterial small subunit ribosomal RNA", at positions 28 to 507 of the family's 1533-position model. The record is from RNAcentral.
GACGAACGCUGGCGGCGUGCCUAAUACAUGCAAGUCGAACGCUUCUUUCCUCCCGAGUGCUUGCACUCAAUUGGAAAGAGGAGUGGCGGACGGGUGAGUAACACGUGUGUAACCUACCCAUCAGAGGGGGAUAACACUUGGAAACAGGUGCUAAUACCGCAUAACAGUUUAUGCCGCAUGGCAUAAGAGUGAAAGGCGCUUUCGGGUGUCGUUGAUGGAUGGACCCGGGGUGCAUUAGCUAGUUGGUGAGGUAACGGCUCACCAAGGCCACGAUGCAUAGACGACCUGAGAGGGUGAUCGGCCACACUGGGACUGAGACACGGCCCAGACUCCUACGGGAGGCAGCAGUAGGGAAUCUUAGGCAAUGGACGAAAGUCUGACCGAACAACGCCGCGUGAGUGAAGAAGGUUUUCGGAUCGUAAAACUCUGUUGUUAGAGAAGAACAAGGACGUUAGUAACUGAACGUCCCCUGACGGUAUCUAACAAGAAAGCAACGGCUAACUACGUG